GACGAACGCUGGCGGCAUGCCUUACACAUGCAAGUCGAACGGCAGCACGGGUGCUUGCACCUGGUGGCGAGUGGCGAACGGGUGAGUAAUACAUCGGAACGUACCUUAUCGUGGGGGAUAACGCAGCGAAAGCUGUGCUAAUACCGCAUACGCCCUGAGGGGGAAAGCGGGGGAUCGAAAGACCUCGCGCGAUUAGAGCGGCCGAUGCCUGAUUAGCUUGUUGGUGGGGUAAAAGCCCACCAAGGCGACGAUCAGUAGCUGGUCUGAGAGGACGAUCAGCCACACUGGGACUGAGACACGGCCCAGACUCCUACGGGAGGCAGCAGUGGGGAAUUUUGGACAAUGGGGGCAACCCUGAUCCAGCAAUGCCGCGUGAGUGAAGAAGGCCUUCGGGUUGUAAAGCUCUUUUGUCAGGGAAGAAACACCGGCUCUAACACAGUCCGGGAAUGACGGUACCUGAAGAAUAAGCACCGGCUAACUACGUGCCAGCCGCCGCCGUAA
This 501-nucleotide ribosomal RNA is filed under the name uncultured bacterium. Its description in RNAcentral is "partial 16S ribosomal RNA". It matches the Rfam family "Bacterial small subunit ribosomal RNA", at positions 28 to 523 of the family's 1533-position model. The record is from RNAcentral.